RNAcentral lists this ribosomal RNA (352 nucleotides) under uncultured Butyrivibrio sp. Its description in RNAcentral is "bacterial SSU rRNA". It matches the Rfam family "Bacterial small subunit ribosomal RNA", at positions 1 to 339 of the family's 1533-position model. Lineage: Bacteria; Bacillati; Bacillota; Clostridia; Lachnospirales; Lachnospiraceae. The record is from RNAcentral.
AGUAGUUUGAUCAUGGCUCAGGAUGAACGCUGGCGGCGUGCCUAACACAUGCAAGUCGAACGGAGUUUACUCGCUGAUGAAGCUUCGGCAGAAUCUUGAGUAAACUUAGUGGCGGACGGGUGAGUAACGCGUGGGCAACCUGCCUCAUACUGGGGGAUAACAGCUGGAAACGACUGUUAAUACCGCAUAAGCGCACAGCAUCGCAUGAUGCAGUGUGAAAAACUCCGGUGGUAUGAGAUGGGCCCGCGUCAGAUUAGCCAGUUGGCAGGGUAACGGCCUACCAAAGCGACGAUCUGUAGCCGGCCUGAGAGGGCGGACGGCCACAUUGGGACUGAGACACGGCCCAAACUCC